GUUUCCGAAAUUUAGAAGCUGUCGAUUCUACUUCAACAACAGGAUUAAAUUCAGGAUGGUCCUUGCGAGCUUGUUCGAUGAGUGUCCCACCCUGCUCACGCAUUCUAACUCCUGCUCGAUAGAACAUGGUAUCCUUUCGAUUCUUCGCCUAUGUUAGAGCAACAAUAUCAGAAGAUCAGAAUAGUAGAUGAAGCAACUUAUCUAUUACAAAUGAAUUGAACUAAUUCAUACCUGCAUUGUGGAUAGAUCCAUGGGGUGUGAUACUAUGUCGAGAUAAUCUGUUACUUGUUCAGUAUCAACUGGUUGACCAAAUACAUCAUUUGUAUCCCUGGAUUUGAUCCCCUCCAGAAGUGAUCUGAGCACACUUUCCAGUGGACGAAGCUCAUACCACAUACACUUCUCCUUUCUAUAAUGAAAGAGUAUGAAUUAUGGUUUGUUUCACUGAAAAUUGGAUUGAACUACGUAAUUUGUACUCUACAUUCUACAGAUAGAAUCAAAUUAAAGCUUACUCACACUUUGAA
Molecule: long non-coding RNA, 521 nt
Organism: Athalia rosae (coleseed sawfly)
Lineage: Eukaryota; Metazoa; Arthropoda; Insecta; Hymenoptera; Athaliidae
Exons: 2
Source: RefSeq, a predicted model, not a curated record